AGCGAACGCUGGCGGUAUGCUUAACACAUGCAAGUCGAGCGCGAAAGUGACUUCGGUCAUGAGUAGAGCGGCGGACGGGUGAGUAACACGUGGAUAAUCUGCCUUUAGGACUGGGAUAACCCUGGGAAACUAGGGCUAAUACCGGAUAAGACCACAGGUUCCAUGGAACCAGGGGUAAAAGGCGGCCUUCGGGCUGUCGCCGAAAGAUGAGUCCGCGUCCCAUCAGGUAGUUGGUGAGGUAACAGCUCACCAAGCCGAAGACGGGUAGCCGACCUUAGCGGGUGAUCGGCCACACGGGGACUGAGACACGGCCCCGACUCCUACGGGUGGCAG
Molecule: ribosomal RNA, 333 nt
Filed under: uncultured Pseudomonadota bacterium
Lineage: Bacteria; Pseudomonadati; Pseudomonadota
Description: bacterial SSU rRNA
Rfam family: Bacterial small subunit ribosomal RNA
Source: RNAcentral